CACCUUUGGUGGGAAGACCCAGCAGGGAGUCAUAUUUAUAUUUCACAGAAGUGUAGGAGUACUGAACACUAAGCCUUCCUGGGUUUUCCAGCCCCUGUGAGCAGCUGGACAUAUCCCAGACUUCUUUGGCUCUGCCCUUUGAAAAGGUCUAGAAACACCUGUAUACUCUGGGAGAAGAAACAUGUGUACCUGCGUGGCAAAAACUCACUGAACCUAAUGUUCCAUGCCCAAAAUAUGGAUAACCUUCAUCUGGCGAUGGAUGGAGAUAGAGACAGAGCCCCACAUUGCAUCAAUGGACUGAGCUCCCAAGGUCCAAAUGAGGAUCAGAAGGAGGGAGAACAUGAGCAAAGAAGUCAAGACCAUGAGGCGUGCACCCACCCACUGAGAUGUUGGGGCUGAUCUAAUGGGAGCUCACCAAGGCCAGCUGAACUGGGACUGAAAAAUCAUGGGAUAAAACUGGACUCUCUGAACAUGGCAGACAAUGAGGGCUGACUGAGAAGCCAAGGACAAUGGCACUGGGUUUUGAUCCUACCACAUGUACUGGCUUUGUGGGAGAUUAGUCUGCUUGGAUGCUCACCUUCCUAGACCUGGAUGGAGGGGGGAGGACCUUGGACUUCCCACAGGGCAGGGA
This is a long non-coding RNA of Chionomys nivalis (European snow vole), 631 nucleotides long. RefSeq lists it as uncharacterized. The transcript is spliced from 3 exons. Lineage: Eukaryota; Metazoa; Chordata; Mammalia; Rodentia; Cricetidae. The record is from RefSeq and is a predicted model, not a curated record.